Molecule: ribosomal RNA, 450 nt
Filed under: uncultured organism
Description: partial 16S ribosomal RNA
Rfam family: Bacterial small subunit ribosomal RNA
Source: RNAcentral
ACUCCUACGGGAGGCAGCAGUGGGGAAUAUUGGACAAUGGGCGCAAGCCUGAUCCAGCCAUGCCGCGUGAGUGAUGAAGGCCCUAGGGUUGUAAAGCUCUUUCACCGGUGAAGAUAAUGACGGUAACCGGAGAAGAAGCCCCGGCUAACUUCGUGCCAGCAGCCGCGGUAAUACGAAGGGGGCUAGCGUUGUUCGGAUUUACUGGGCGUAAAGCGCACGUAGGCGGACUAUUAAGUCAGGGGUGAAAUCCCGGGGCUCAACCCCGGAACUGCCUUUGAUACUGGUAGUCUGGAGUUCGAGAGAGGUGAGUGGAAUUCCGAGUGUAGAGGUGAAAUUCGUAGAUAUUCGGAGGAACACCAGUGGCGAAGGCGGCUCACUGGCUCGAUACUGACGCUGAGGUGCGAAAGCGUGGGGAGCAAACAGGAUUAGAAACCCUAGUAGUCCCAUGAU